GGAAGAAGCGAAAGUGACGGUACCUGCAGAAGAAGCACCGGCUAACUACGUGCCAGCAGCCGCGGUAAUACGUAGGGUGCGAGCGUUAUCCGGAAUUAUUGGGCGUAAAGAGCUCGUAGGCGGUUUGUCGCGUCUGUCGUGAAAGUCCGGGGCUUAACCCCGGAUCUGCGGUGGGUACGGGCAGACUAGAGUGCAGUAGGGGAGACUGGAAUUCCUGGUGUAGCGGUGGAAUGCGCAGAUAUCAGGAGGAACACCGAUGGCGAAGGCAGGUCUCUGGGCUGUAACUGACGCUGAGGAGCGAAAGCAUGGGGAGCGAACAGGAUUAG
This 326-nucleotide ribosomal RNA is filed under the name Micrococcus sp. Its description in RNAcentral is "bacterial SSU rRNA". It matches the Rfam family "Bacterial small subunit ribosomal RNA", at positions 443 to 781 of the family's 1533-position model. Lineage: Bacteria; Bacillati; Actinomycetota; Actinomycetes; Micrococcales; Micrococcaceae. The record is from RNAcentral.